GACGAACGCUGGCGGCGUGCUUAACACAUGCAAGUCGAACGGAAAGGCCCUGCUUUUGUGGGGUGCUCGAGUGGCGAACGGGUGAGUAACACGUGAGUAACCUGCCCUUGACUUUGGGAUAACUUCAGGAAACUGGGGCUAAUACCGGAUAGGAGCUCCUGCUGCAUGGUGGGGGUUGGAAAGUUUCGGCGGUUGGGGAUGGACUCGCGGCUUAUCAGCUUGUUUGUGUGGUAGUGGCUUACCAAGGCUUUGACGGGUAGCCGGCCUGAGAGGGUGACCGGCCACAUUGGGACUGAGAUACGGCCCAGACUCCUACGGGAGGCAGCAGUGGGGAAUAUUGCACAGUGAGCGGAAGCCUGAUGCAGCAACGCCGCGUGCGGGAUGACGGCCUUCGGGUUGUAAACCGCUUUCGCCUGUGACGAAGCGUGAGUGACGGUAAUGGGUAAAGAAGCACCGGCUAACUACGUG
This 468-nucleotide ribosomal RNA is filed under the name uncultured bacterium. RNAcentral describes it as "partial 16S ribosomal RNA". It matches the Rfam family "Bacterial small subunit ribosomal RNA", at positions 28 to 507 of the family's 1533-position model. The record is from RNAcentral.